CUAGAGGCCAAGCAGCCAGGAGGAGGUAAUCUCUAAAACCACAAGAGAAACCUCCCACCAGGGGAGUGUACAAUGAGCUGGAUGGGGAGGGGGAAAUAUUUGCAUUUACCUCAUCAAAAUCUCCAUAUAAAUAGGCUGGGAAGCAUCAGGCUUUCUCACUUCCCAGGUGCAUGAAGCGGGAACAUCCAAGAGGAUGAUGGCAGCUCACUGCUUGCUGCAGUUCCUCCUCUUCGGGACUCUACUCGUCCCUGCAUACCUGCAGAUGGAAGGAUGUGAUUCUCUCCAUAACACAGUUCCUGGCAAUUUUUCAGUGACUGUCACACCUGAGGUGUACGUGGCAAACACAAGCUACCAGGUUACGAUAAGCAAUGGCAGAAACGACACCACCAACAGAACUGCAACCAAGUAUUUACUUCAAGCCUUGUCCCCCGAAAAUACCACUGUGGGAGAAUGGAACGUAGUAGACAAGCAAAACUGCAAUGAUGUUGAGACAGCAACAUUAAAUGCCACUCAGGAAGCAACAGCAAACUGGACAUCUCCAGGCAGUAAUAUAACUUCCGUGGAAAUAAGGGCAUAUAUCAUCUUUGACAACAGUUCAGCUGAGUUCAAGUCGGUAACUCUGCAGAAAGCUCCAGAAAUAGUACCAACCACAGCCACGACAACCCCCAACUCCAUCUCUGCAGUCCAGAGCAGCUUCUUCUUCAUUGUCAUCACUCAGCUGCUGAUGCUACUCACUACAAGCAAACUGCUCUCCUAG
Molecule: long non-coding RNA, 757 nt
Filed under: Numida meleagris (helmeted guineafowl)
Lineage: Eukaryota; Metazoa; Chordata; Aves; Galliformes; Numididae
Description: lncRNA (ENSNMEG00000003524.1)
Source: RNAcentral